RNAcentral lists this long non-coding RNA (568 nucleotides) under Rattus norvegicus (Norway rat). RNAcentral's name for it is "long non-coding RNA NONRATT028527". Lineage: Eukaryota; Metazoa; Chordata; Mammalia; Rodentia; Muridae. The record is from RNAcentral.
CGAGGGUGGAGGGGCACUGAGAGAUGCAAGGUCGAGCAGUGCUCUCGCUCGCCCGACCGCCCGACCGCAGUCAUCGCUCGUCUCUGGUACCUGCCCCAGAACAAUAGGCAAGUGCGAUGAUUCUUCUGUGGUCCUGCCUCCUGGUGGCUGUCGUAGCAGAGCAGAGAAGAGUCCCAUGGAUUCGUCUCAGCUGUGUAUCAUUUUGAUAUCACAGUGUUUGAAUCCAGCUUUGCAGAAACUGCGGAAGCGGCCAGUUAACUGCUGAAGGCAGAUGUAAAGGCAUGUAUUCUAGGCACAGCGACACCUCAGCCUGGGAAUUCCUCUCUGCAUCGCCUCACCAGGCAGCUGCUACAGCAGUACCACAAGGAGGUCAGACCAGUUUACAACUGGGCUGAGGCCACCACUGUCUACCUGGACCUUUGCGUCCAUGCUGUAUUGGAUGUGGAUGUACAGAAUCAAAAAUUAAAGACAAGCAUGUGGUACCGAGAGGUUUGGAAUGAUGAGUUUCUGUCCUGGAACUCUAGUCUGUUCGAUGAUAUUCAAGAGAUCUCUCUCCCUCUCAGUGCCA